RNAcentral lists this ribosomal RNA (381 nucleotides) under uncultured eukaryote. Its description in RNAcentral is "partial 18S ribosomal RNA". It matches the Rfam family "Eukaryotic small subunit ribosomal RNA", at positions 592 to 976 of the family's 1831-position model. The record is from RNAcentral.
CAAUAGCGUUUAUUAAAGUUGUUGCGGUAAAAAAGCUCGUAGUUGGAUUUCUACCGAAGAUAGCCGGUCGGGUCUUCGACCUUGUAUCUGGUUUUGUCUUUGGUAUCCUCAUAGGGAACGUUUCUGCGCUUUAUUGCGUGGUGCGGUAUCUAUGACUUUUACUUUGAGGAAAUUAGAGUGUUCACGGCAGGCAAACGCCUUGAAUAUAUUAGCAUGGAAUAAUAACAUAGGAUCUUCGUCCUAUUUUGUUGGUUUCUAGGGCUAAGAUAAUGAUUAAUAGGGAUAAUUGGGGGCAUCUGUAUCAACGCGUCAGAGGUGGAAUUCUUGGAUUGCGUUGCGACAAACUACUGCGAAAGCAUUUGCCAAGGAUGUUUUCAUUGA